GAUGAACGCUGGCGGCGUGCCUAAUACAUGCAAGUCGAGCGAACGGACGAGAAGCUUGCUUCUCUGAUGUUAGCGGCGGACGGGUGAGUAACACGUGGAUAACCUACCUAUAAGACUGGGAUAACUUCGGGAAACCGGAGCUAAUACCGGAUAAUAUUUUGAACCGCAUGGUUCAAAAGUGAAAGACGGUCUUGCUGUCACUUAUAGAUGGAUCCGCGCUGCAUUAGCUAGUUGGUAAGGUAACGGCUUACCAAGGCAACGAUGCAUAGCCGACCUGAGAGGGUGAUCGGCCACACUGGAACUGAGACACGGUCCAGACUCCUACGGGAGGCAGCAGUAGGGAAUCUUCCGCAAUGGGCGAAAGCCUGACGGAGCAACGCCGCGUGAGUGAUGAAGGUCUUCGGAUCGUAAAACUCUGUUAUUAGGGAAGAACAUAUGUGUAAGUAACUGUGCACAUCUUGACGGUACCUAGUCAGAAAGCCACGGCUAACUACGUGCCAGCAGCCGCGGUAAUACGUAGGUGGCAAGCGUUAUCCGGAAUUAUUGGGCGUAAAGCGCGCGUAGGCGGUUUUUUAAGUCUGAUGUGAAAGCCCACGGCUCAACCGUGGAGGGUCAUUGGAAACUGGAAAACUUGAGUGCAGAAGAGGAAAGUGGAAUUCCAUGUGUAGCGGUGAAAUGCGCAGAGAUAUGGAGGAACACCAGUGGCGAAGGCGACUUUCUGGUCUGUAACUGACGCUGAUGUGCGAAAGCGUGGGGAUCAAACAGGAUUAGAUACCCUGGUAGUCCACGCCGUAAACGAUGAGUGCUAAGUGUUAGGGGGUUUCCGCCCCUUAGUGCUGCAGCUAACGCAUUAAGCACUCCGCCUGGGGAGUACGACCGCAAGGUUGAAACUCAAAGGAAUUGACGGGGACCCGCACAAGCGGUGGAGCAUGUGGUUUAAUUCGAAGCAACGCGAAGAACCUUACCAAAUCUUGACAUCCUUUGACAACUCUAGAGAUAGAGCCUUCCCCUUCGGGGGACAAAGUGACAGGUGGUGCAUGGUUGUCGUCAGCUCGUGUCGUGAGAUGUUGGGUUAAGUCCCGCAACGAGCGCAACCCUUAAGCUUAGUUGCCAUCAUUAAGUUGGGCACUCUAAGUUGACUGCCGGUGACAAACCGGAGGAAGGUGGGGAUGACGUCAAAUCAUCAUGCCCCUUAUGAUUUGGGCUACACACGUGCUACAAUGGACAAUACAAAGGGCAGCGAAACCGCGAGGUCAAGCAAAUCCCAUAAAGUUGUUCUCAGUUCGGAUUGUAGUCUGCAACUCGACUACAUGAAGCUGGAAUCGCUAGUAAUCGUAGAUCAGCAUGCUACGGUGAAUACGUUCCCGGGUCU
RNAcentral lists this ribosomal RNA (1372 nucleotides) under uncultured bacterium. RNAcentral describes it as "bacterial SSU rRNA". It matches the Rfam family "Bacterial small subunit ribosomal RNA", at positions 28 to 1381 of the family's 1533-position model. The record is from RNAcentral.